AAUAUUUGGUUUAGACUUUAGAUGUUUUUAAGCGCGAAAUAAUUCAAUUUGUUUUUAAACUAGUGCUAAUAUAAAAAAAUGUCUCAGUCGUGCAGCACCGAAAAAUUAAAUUCUUUAUUAGACUUUCUACAUGACCAUAAAGACUUGGCAAGAGUCCUUAGUAGGGCACUAAGGACUGCUGAUGCAAUGGCCCGAGCUAAGAGGUUGUGGGAGGAAAUAACACAGCUGCUCAAUUCUUUGGGCGGCAGCAAUGGCAAAAGGUGAGCAGCUGUGCGAAGGAUGCAUACAGGCACAGGUGGUGGACCAUUAUCCACUUCCCUGGCACAAUGGGAACUAAGAGUUUUAGAAAUAAUGGGAGAAGGAUUUGGGGGGCCACAAACCACAUCUCGUGUGUCAGCCUUUCCCACAAAUAAUAUUGAGGAAGAAGUAGCUCAGAACGUAGUGGAACCCGAUGUCAUGACCCAACCUGAAAUCCCAUUUUCUAAUGAGAGUUAGGAUUUAAUUGGUACAUCAGACAAUCUUGGUGGCAUCUCUCGUUGUGCAUCUACAAUGGAAAUUUCUACUGAAAAUGCACAAAUAGAUGUAUAUUCAUGGCCAGGCCAAGAUCAGCCUAAACAGCCGGCAUCAUCCCGUAUUAAUUGUCCAUCUCGGCGUGUAACCAGCCAACGACCAGGGCAAGUAGGAAGAAUAAGCGACUGUUUAAUCCAGUUGGAACAGGAAAAAAUUAUACUACUAAGUACUCUCAAUACAAGACUCCGAUAUUGAAAAAGCCAUAAUAGAAUUAAUUAAAUUAAAACAGAAUAGUACAAACAAUUAGCCAUUGAUGUUAUAUUGUUUCUUAAAUAGUGUUUAUUUUGUUUUUUAAUAUUAAGUACACAUAAAAA
Long non-coding RNA from Leptidea sinapis, 884 nucleotides. RefSeq lists it as uncharacterized. NCBI's taxonomy places the organism in Eukaryota, Metazoa, Arthropoda, Insecta, Lepidoptera, Pieridae. The transcript is spliced from 5 exons. The record is from RefSeq and is a predicted model, not a curated record.